AUACUUACCUGGACGGGGUCGAUGGGCGAUCAUGAAGGCCUGUGGCCUAGGUUGGUGGCCCACAUCGCGCUUGGUGGGUGCGCUGGCCUAUCAUUCCCCAAGUGGGAGAGUGAAUGUUGUAAUUUUUGAUAGCGGAGGUAUGCGUUCGCGCGGCACCUGC
This is a non-coding RNA of Triticum urartu, 160 nucleotides long. Lineage: Eukaryota; Viridiplantae; Streptophyta; Magnoliopsida; Poales; Poaceae. The record is from Rfam.